AACGAACGCUGGCGGCAUGGUUAAGACAUGCAAGUCGUACGGACCAUGUAGCAAUAUGUGGUUAGUGGCGAAAGGGAGAGUAAUCCAUAGGUAAUGUAUCCUUAACACCGGGAUAACGCCGGGGGCAACCCCUUUGCGAAAGUGGCGCUAAUACCGGAUGACGUUGUCGGGCGGCAUCGCCUGGCAACCAAAGGGCGGGGAUCGUAAGACCUGCCGGUUUUUGAGCAGCCUAUGUCCUAUCACCUAGUUGGCGAGGUAACGGCUCACCAAGGGAGCGACGGGUAGCGGGUGUGAGAGCAUGACCCGCCUCAUCGGGACUGAGACACUGCCCGGACACCUACGGGUGGCUGCAGUAACGAAUAUUGGGCAAUGGGCGCAAGCCUGACCAGCAAUGCCGCGUGUGGGAGGAAGUCCCUCGGGAUGUAAACCACUUUUAGGGGUGGACAAGCAUUCGGGUGAAUAAUCCGGAAAGUUGAGUUGCCCCAGAAAAAGCCUCGGCUAACUCUGUGCCAGCAGC
This 517-nucleotide ribosomal RNA is filed under the name uncultured bacterium. RNAcentral's name for it is "bacterial SSU rRNA". It matches the Rfam family "Bacterial small subunit ribosomal RNA", at positions 29 to 515 of the family's 1533-position model. The record is from RNAcentral.